RNA transcript from Prunus mume (Japanese apricot), 1949 nucleotides. RefSeq lists it as uncharacterized. Lineage: Eukaryota; Viridiplantae; Streptophyta; Magnoliopsida; Rosales; Rosaceae. The record is from RefSeq and is a predicted model, not a curated record.
AAAAAAAAAAACAAAAAACAAAACUCGGGAUCUCUCUUUCGCUCUCUCGCUCUGAUUUUCUCCGUCUCUCUCCCGCUCUGACUCUUUUUCUCUCAUGGUGGAAAUUUUUCUCUAGCUCGCUGUCUGUUUAUCAAACUCGCACUAGUUCACGCUGGCUGCUCUUGUCCCAACGUCUGAAGCUCUGUGACAGCGCUGUCUAUGAGAAGUUGUGGUGUAAUGUUUUAAACCAGUGUUUAGAGAGUGUCUAUAAGGUGCAACAAUGUCGGUAACAGCAGGUGUUAGUGAUACUGUGAUAGCAGUUAGGGAUAAGCUCAGAGGUAAAAUUGGGCAAACAAAAGUUAAAAGGUAUUGGCCUGGAAAAGCUCCCGAGUGGGCAGAUGAUGCCGACGAAGAUGGGGAUAUUAGGAUGUCCGCAGCUGCUUCAUUGGAGAAAGCUUUCCCCACGCAGGAAUAUUCUGAUGUUGUUAGAAAAGAUGAUCCUAGACUGCGCCGUUUGGCUGAGAGCAGGAUAGAUAAUCGUGAGGAUGUUCGAGCUGAUCAUAGGCGUAUCCGGCAAGCUGAGAUUGUUUCAACAAUUGAAGAAGAAGCCAAGAGGCAGGAAGGGUUAGAAGCGGAGGAAGAGGACGCAGAUGCUUUGGAGGAAAGAAGAAGAAGGAUCAAGGAGAAGUUGCGUCAAAGGGAGCAAGAAGAAGCUCCACUCCUUCUGUCGGAAGACGAGGAAGAAGUAAAGGAAGAGGAGGAAGAGGAGUCUGAGUAUGAUACUGACUCUGAAGAAGAGCUUACUGGUAUGGUGAUGUUGAAGCCUGUCUUUGUGCCAAAGUCAGAGAGAGAUACUAUUGCUGAACGUGAGCGACUUGAGGCUGAAGAACGAGCCCUUGAGGAAUCAAGGAAGAGGAAUUUGGAGGAAAGGAAGAGAGAGACAAAGCAGAUUGUGGUUGAGGAGAUUCGGAAGGACGAAGAGAUUCAGAAGGGUUUGGAACAGGAAGGAAAUAUUGCUGAUAUUGAUACUGAUGAUGAAAUAAACGAGGCAGAGGAGUAUGAAGCUUGGAAGGCAAGAGAGAUAGCCAGGAUCAAGAGGGAUAGGGAGGACCGGGAAGCAAUGAUAAAGGAGAAGGAAGAGAUUGAAAGGGUUAGGAACAUGACAGAGGAAGAGAGGAGGGACUGGGAGAGGAAGCAUCCGAAAGCUGCACCACAACCAAAGCAGAAGUGGAGAUUUAUGCAGAAAUAUUACCACAAGGGUGCUUUCUUCCAGUCAGAACCUGAUGACUAUGCUGCAACUGUUGGAACAGAUGGAAUUUACACACGUGAUUUCUCUGCCCCAACUGGAGAAGAUAAGAUGGACAAAACAAUAUUGCCCAAGGUCAUGCAGGUCAAACAUUUUGGUCGUAGUGGAAGGACGAAAUGGACUCAUCUUGUCAAUGAGGAUACCACUGAUUGGAACAAUCCAUGGACGUACAACGAUCCUCUUCGGUCAAAGUAUAAUGCUAAAAUGGCAGGAAUGAAUGCGCCUAUUGCAAAACCCAAAGGAAGCAAGAAAUUGAAGGAUUGGGAGUCUCGUUGAUUUAUAACUACUCAUUCAUGUGCAAGAAGCUUGGUUUUGUAAUUUAUCUGAUUUUUUCAUGACGGAAUACGAGUUUGUGGGAGAAUAUUACAUUCUUCAAUGUAUUUUCGCAAGGUAGGACUGCUCAGGGCACAACCAUAUUGCGCUUUCUUGCUCCAAUAAGUGUACCAGUGGAUUUUGCGGUGGCUAGUUUCAUUUGCAUUUCGUUCUUUUCAUUUGGGAGAAGUUCAAAGGGUAAGUCUUUAGGAGUAUUUUGUCUGCUAGAGAUAUUUGAUUUAUAUUAAUGCGACGGAUAGUCGGUAUAGUUACUAGAACAUUCCUUUUGUGUGGUAUCAUCUUUCAUCAAAUUCCUGAUAAACAAUAAUAGAUAUAAUUUUAUUUUUUUAUU